UACGUAGGGUGCGAGCGUUGUCCGGAAUUAUUGGGCGUAAAGAGCUUGUAGGUGGUUUGUCGCGUCUGCUGUGAAAAUCCGAGGCUCAACCUCGGACUUGCAGUGGGUACGGGCAGACUAGAGUGUGGUAGGGGAGACUGGAAUUCCUGGUGUAGCGGUGGAAUGCGCAGAUAUCAGGAGGAACACCAAUAGCGAAGGCAGCUCGCUGGGACGUUACUGACACUGAGGCGCGAAAGCGUGGGGGAGCGAACAGG
Molecule: ribosomal RNA, 254 nt
Filed under: uncultured bacterium
Lineage: Bacteria
Description: partial 16S ribosomal RNA
Rfam family: Bacterial small subunit ribosomal RNA
Source: RNAcentral